GAGUUUGAUCUUGGCUCAGAUUGAACGCUGGCGGCAGGCCUAACACAUGCAAGUCGAGCGGAUGACGGGAGCUUGCUCCUUGAUUCAGCGGCGGACGGGUGAGUAAUGCCUAGGAAUCUGCCUGGUAGUGGGGGACAACGUUUCGAAAGGAACGCUAAUACCGCAUACGUCCUACGGGAGAAAGCAGGGACCUUCGGGCCUUGCGCUAUCAGAUGAGCCUAGGUCGGAUUAGCUAGUUGGUGGGGUAAUGGCUCACCAAGGCGACGAUCCGUAACUGGUCUGAGAGGAUGAUCAGUCACACUGGAACUGAGACACGGUCCAGACUCCUACGGGAGGCAGCAGUGGGGAAUAUUGGACAAUGGGCGAAAGCCUGAUCCGACGCCAUCGCCGCGUGUGUAGAAGGU
This 404-nucleotide ribosomal RNA is filed under the name bacterium enrichment culture clone ALO1_GLFRUDD03FL15F. Its description in RNAcentral is "bacterial SSU rRNA". It matches the Rfam family "Bacterial small subunit ribosomal RNA", at positions 9 to 415 of the family's 1533-position model. The record is from RNAcentral.